GAUAGCUAAAGAAUAAAAAUGAACCCUACAACUAUAAUAAAAGAGGAAAGUCUCUGGAAGUGGUGUGCAAGCCGGCCUCUUGAGCUGGAAGCCUAAAGCUUUUAUCGCUUUCACUCACCUAACUCCUCGGGUUCAUUUUGACUUUAGAGCUAUC
Molecule: non-coding RNA, 154 nt
Filed under: Oligoflexia bacterium
Lineage: Bacteria; Pseudomonadati; Bdellovibrionota; Oligoflexia
Description: 6S RNA
Rfam family: 6S / SsrS RNA
About the family: E. coli 6S RNA was the first non coding RNA to be sequenced, but its function was unknown until recently.
Source: RNAcentral